Non-coding RNA from Procambarus clarkii (red swamp crayfish), 326 nucleotides. NCBI's taxonomy places the organism in Eukaryota, Metazoa, Arthropoda, Malacostraca, Decapoda, Cambaridae. The record is from RefSeq and is a predicted model, not a curated record.
UAAUUUUCAGCAUACAUGCAGGACAAUGGAUCAAGUGUCAACAAGAUACCAACAAAUAAUAUAGAUGCCCAAGAAGAUAUCAACAUCAGUGAGGCAAAAGAAAAGAAUGGGGAGCAAGAGCUUAAGUUAAAGAAAAUGAAGAAAAAACGAAGACUGUCUGAAGUUCAACUAUUAAAGUUCACAUUCAGGAAAAUCAAAAUAGGAAGAUCAGGGAAGCGAAAGACAAGAAUGUAGAGCAAGAGGAUAAGUCCUUGAAAAAAAUGAAGAAACACCGACUUUCUCAAGAUACAACUGUGACAGCACAUCAGUGUCUACUUACUGCUGAA